CAGAUGCCGGGCUCAGAGAACCAGGUCAAGGUGUUCUACUGUCUCCGCCUGCUGGGUAAGCAGAGGGGGCUCCAAGUGACAUAGGGGUUUCCUUCAAACCUCCCUGCUCUGUGCCAAACCCUGGACAGGGGAAUGAGAACGAGGAGUGCUGAGGCCACUGAGGUUUGCUCUUCUCCCCUGCAGCCUGUCUCUCCCCAGACCAAUUUAUUUCCUUUGUGGGCUCCCGCCUCAAGACCGACAAAGAGGGAAGCUGCGUGGCAUCCCUCUCCAUCUUUAGUGGCAUCAUUGCUGCUGACUUGCCCGAGAUGAGCCAGAAAAAAUGUGCUGUAGUCAAGGCCAUGAGGUGCAUGCUUGGUGAUCAGAGCACUGAGGUGAAGAAGGCCGUCCUUCAUUUCGUCAGGACACUGCUCAGUGUGCAGGGCCUGGAUGACUGGGCCUGGGACUUAGUGGCCUAUAUUUUCAAGCAGUCCAGCUUGUCUAGGAGC
Long non-coding RNA from Alligator mississippiensis (American alligator), 485 nucleotides. RefSeq lists it as uncharacterized. The record is from RefSeq and is a predicted model, not a curated record. The transcript has 3 exons. Lineage: Eukaryota; Metazoa; Chordata; Crocodylia; Alligatoridae.